This 484-nucleotide ribosomal RNA is filed under the name uncultured bacterium. RNAcentral describes it as "partial 16S ribosomal RNA". It matches the Rfam family "Bacterial small subunit ribosomal RNA", at positions 30 to 507 of the family's 1533-position model. The record is from RNAcentral.
AUUGAACGCUGGCGGCAGGCCUAACACAUGCAAGUCGAGCGGAUGAAGGGAGCUUGCUCCUGGAUUCAGCGGCGGACGGGUGAGUAAUGCCUAGGAAUCUGCCUGGUAGUGGGGGAUAACGUCCGGAAACGGGCGCUAAUACCGCAUACGUCCUGAGGGAGAAAGUGGGGGAUUUUCGGACCUCAUCCUCGCAGAGGACCCUAGGUCGGAUUAGCUAGUUGGUGGGGUAAGGGCCUACCAAGCCGACGAUCCGUAACUGGUCUGAGAGGAUGAUCAGUCACACUGGAACUGAAACACGGUCCAGACUCCUACGGGAGGCAGCAGUGGGGAAUGUUGGACAAUGGGCGAAAGCAUGAUCCAGCCAUGCCGCGUGUGUGAAGAAGGUCUUCGGAUUGUAAAGCACUUUAAGUUGGGAGGAAGGGCAGUAAGUUAAUACCUUGCUGUUUUGACGUUACCAACAGAAUAAGCACCGGCUAACUUCGUG